CAGUCGCCGCGGUAAUACGAAGGGGGCAAGCGUUAAUCGGAAUUACUGGGCGUAAAGCGUGCGUAGGCGGUUUGUUAAGUCUGUUGUGAAAUCCCCGGGCUCAACCUGGGAAUGGCAAUGGAUACUGGCAAGCUAGAGUGUGGCAGAGGGGGGUGGAAUUCCGCGUGUAGCAGUGAAAUGCGUAGAUAUGCGGAGGAAUACCGAUGGCGAAGGCAGCCCCCUGGGCCAAUACUGACGCUCAUGCACGAAAGCGUGGGGAGCAAACAGGAUUAGAUACCCCCGUAGUCCCUGUCUCUUAUAC
RNAcentral lists this ribosomal RNA (301 nucleotides) under uncultured bacterium. Its description in RNAcentral is "partial 16S ribosomal RNA". It matches the Rfam family "Bacterial small subunit ribosomal RNA", at positions 509 to 807 of the family's 1533-position model. The record is from RNAcentral.